This is a long non-coding RNA of Hipposideros armiger (great roundleaf bat), 969 nucleotides long. RefSeq lists it as uncharacterized. The record is from RefSeq and is a predicted model, not a curated record. The transcript has 2 exons. NCBI's taxonomy places the organism in Eukaryota, Metazoa, Chordata, Mammalia, Chiroptera, Hipposideridae.
UCCUACGGAGCGGGGAGGGGGAUAUGUAGAGGGCAUCUUGGACCACUCCGCCCUCUUUGGCACCCGUGGCCGGCUGUGGUUUCUGUGUUCCUGUGCUACUGUGGUGGUUUUGUUUUGUUCCCCCCCCCCGCGAAUAAACCCUCCUUUUGGUGGACUAUUUAAAAGACUAUUUUGUCCGAUUAACAUUUGACUUGUCCAGAAUCUAGAGAAAAAGGAACUCUCCUGGCUUCUGAAAGGGAGUUGACUCUUGGGUACAUGUGUCACACCUAAAGAAGGCACCAAACCCUGACUGGAAAUGCACAGUCUGGUGACCUGAAACUGAAGUUGUCAAAAUUUAAAGCAGGUAACCUCUAAGGAGACAAGUUAACAAAUCUUUCUGGAACUUUGGUCUAUAUAAGGUAAUAAUAGUCUUUGUCUCAUUAUCUACAAGCUUGGGCUCCUGGUUUGCACCUGCCACGUAAGCUAGGUUGUUAUGUCCUAAUUCUGCCUGUAAUUCUUAUUGUUUUAAGCUCUGCUUCUGAUGCCCAUCAGCCCUGGACAUCAGCUGUUCCUGAUCCAUGCACUCUCCCAUGAUGUAAGAGAUGACACCCAGAGGAGGUCCUUCCUGACGUCGAGGGACAAAAGGCUGAGGACUGGAAAACUUGAGAUCUAAAGACCGGACUGUUGAUCAACGAUGGCUUUGGAGGAAAGAUCUUGAUCAAAAGUGGGGAAUGAUAAAAGUGAACUGGUACUUGGAGAAAACUGAGCCAGGACCUAGGACAUCUAUGGGUGGAGCUGGGCUUCCUGUUACUCUGGUCCUGACUUCCUGUUAAACUUUAUGGUUCUAACUUCUUGCGGUGGGGGGAUUCAUAGGGGCCAUAUUGGACAGCUCGCGCUCUUUGGCAUGUGGACAGCCAGCUGGAAGGUGUGUGUUCCUACACUGCUGUGGUGAUUUUGUUUUCCCGAAUAAACCCUCAUUUUGGUGGACUA